This 148-nucleotide non-coding RNA is filed under the name Pan troglodytes (chimpanzee). Lineage: Eukaryota; Metazoa; Chordata; Mammalia; Primates; Hominidae. The record is from Rfam by way of RNAcentral.
GCUGGGUGUGGUGGUGCAUGCCUGUAAUCCCAGCUACUUGGGAGGCUGAGUCAGGAGAAUCGCUUGAACCCAGGAGGCAGAGGUUGCAGUGAGCUGAGAUUGCGCCACUGCACUCCAGCCUGGGUGACAGAGCAAGACUCUGUCUCAA